This 426-nucleotide ribosomal RNA is filed under the name uncultured Pseudomonadota bacterium. RNAcentral describes it as "bacterial SSU rRNA". It matches the Rfam family "Bacterial small subunit ribosomal RNA", at positions 356 to 774 of the family's 1533-position model. The record is from RNAcentral. Lineage: Bacteria; Pseudomonadati; Pseudomonadota.
GGGGAAUUUUGGACAAUGGGGGCAACCCUGAUCCAGCCAUGCCGCGUGAGUGAAGAAGGCCUUCGGGUUGUAAAGCUCUUUCGGCGGGGAAGAAAUGGCAACGGCUAAUAUCCGUUGUUGAUGACGGUACCCGCAUAAGAAGCACCGGCUAACUUCGUGCCAGCAGCCGCGGUAAUACGAAGGGUGCAAGCGUUACUCGGAAUUACUGGGCGUAAAGCGUGCGUAGGUGGUCGUUUAAGUCCGUUGUGAAAGCCCUGGGCUCAACCUGGGAACUGCAGUGGAUACUGGACGACUAGAGUGUGGUAGAGGGUAGCGGAAUUCCUGGUGUAGCAGUGAAAUGCGUAGAGAUCAGGGGGAACAUCCAUGGCGAAGGCAGCUACCUGGACCAACACUGACACUGAGGCACGAAAGCGUGGGGAGCAAACA